GCGAUGGGGGUACUGUGGUGGCGGCCAUCUUGAAAUCAGGGGCAUGAUUGGUCACGUGAUUUGCGAGCACCUCCUAUCCGACUCUCAGCCAUGUUUCUCCUGAUGUCUUCACUUCAGGACGUUUGGCAAGCGGGAGAGUGAAUUUGGACGUUGGCAAAGUGCUUUUGUGCACGAAUUGACUUGCAAGUUGUGGCUUUGGAGAAGCCAACAUGGAGAAGCGAAAAGAGUUGCUGGAGAGAAAAGUCCGAGACCCAAGGAGUGAGCUAUUUGUUGACGGGCUUUUGGAUGGUAUAGAGGCGCUUGUGAACGAUUGUAACUACCCACAGAUUCGUCGGAACAAGAAUGUUGAGAACUUCGUACAACGGUGUA
Exaiptasia diaphana is the source of this 369-nucleotide long non-coding RNA. RefSeq lists it as uncharacterized. The transcript is spliced from 3 exons. The record is from RefSeq and is a predicted model, not a curated record. Lineage: Eukaryota; Metazoa; Cnidaria; Anthozoa; Actiniaria; Aiptasiidae.